This 728-nucleotide long non-coding RNA is filed under the name Brassica napus (rape). Its description in RNAcentral is "long non-coding RNA (BNAP_LNC001772)". Lineage: Eukaryota; Viridiplantae; Streptophyta; Magnoliopsida; Brassicales; Brassicaceae. The record is from RNAcentral.
GACAAGAGAGAGAAGUUGAAAGUCACCGUCUUUUCACCUUCUCCGGUCGAUGGCUCCGGCCGUUGGUACUGUGAGAGGGUGGAUCCCCUUUUUCCUUCUUGUUUCAGUCUUGUUUAUGGUUUGCUUAUUAAUCUAAAGGGUUUCAGAUCUGGUCGGAAGCUUCAUUCAUUCGUGUUGAAGCGGAGAGUCUCAAAUCGGAAUCCAUGGACCUCGAUCUCUUCAGAUCUACGGUUUGUGGUGAUGGAUUUAUAAUUACCGGCUGGUUUGAGUAAGAGUAUGCUUCGAGUAAGGCUUGGUUGGCUCCGCUAUGGUGUUGAGACGCGUAGACGGCGCGUGGUGAGCUUCUACAGAGGUCAAUGGCGAGUUUAAGUUGGAUCUGAAGGGAGGCGGUGGGGCAGAAGCGCUUAUGAGACAUAUUCUACAGCAACGGUUAUCCAUAAACUAUCGAUCCGGUUUGUUCUUUCUAUGGAGGAGUUUGAUUCUUAUCUAGAUUGGUUGUGUUUUGGCUUCUUAUGUUAUUAGCUAUGUUCUUGUAGUCCGUGUAUGGUAGUUUGAUUUUGUCUCCGGGAUUGUAUUUGUGCAGUUGCCGGCUUAUGGCUCGGGUUGUGUCUCUUAACUGCCCGCUCUAGAUUAUGGUGUCGUUUCAUUACGACAGCCUUUGUAACUUGCCUUUUGGCUUAACCAGUUUCGAAUCAAUAUAACAACAGAUGACAAAAAAAAAAAGAAAU